UAAUACGUAGGGUGCAAGCGUUGUCCGGAAUUAUUGGGCGUAAAGAGCUCGUAGGCGGUCUGUCGCGUCGACUGUGAAAACCCAAGGCUCAACCUUGGGCUUGCAGUCGAUACGGGCAGACUUGAGUGUGGUAGGGGAGACUGGAAUUCCUGGUGUAGCGGUGAAAUGCGCAGAUAUCAGGAGGAACACCGGUGGCGAAGGCGGGUCUCUGGGCCAUAACUGACGCUGAGGAGCGAAAGCGUGGGGAGCGAACAGGAUUAGAUACCCUGGUAGUCCACGCCGUAAACGUUGGGCGCUAGGUGUGGGGACCAUUCCACGGUCUCCGUGCCGCAGCUAACGCAUUAAGCGCCCCGCCUGGGGAGUACGGCCGCAAGGCUA
RNAcentral lists this ribosomal RNA (378 nucleotides) under uncultured bacterium. Its description in RNAcentral is "bacterial SSU rRNA". It matches the Rfam family "Bacterial small subunit ribosomal RNA", at positions 521 to 896 of the family's 1533-position model. The record is from RNAcentral.